This 534-nucleotide ribosomal RNA is filed under the name Bordetella sp. HPC760. Its description in RNAcentral is "bacterial SSU rRNA". It matches the Rfam family "Bacterial small subunit ribosomal RNA", at positions 929 to 1472 of the family's 1533-position model. The record is from RNAcentral. Lineage: Bacteria; Pseudomonadati; Pseudomonadota; Betaproteobacteria; Burkholderiales; Alcaligenaceae.
GCGGUGGAUGAUGUGGAUAAUUUCGAUGCAACGCGAAAAACCUUACCUACCCUUGACAUGUCUGGAAAUCCCGAAAGAGAUUUGGGAGUGCUCGCAAGAGAACCGGAACACAGGUGCUGCAUGGCUGUCGUCAGCUCGUGUCGUGAGAUGUUGGGUUAAGUCCCGCAACGAGCGCAACCCUUGUCAUUAGUUGCUACGAAAGGGCACUCUAAUGAGACUGCCGGUGACAAACCGGAGGAAGGUGGGGAUGACGUCAAGUCCUCAUGGCCCUUAUGGGUAGGGCUUCACACGUCAUACAAUGGUCGGGACAGAGGGUCGCCAACCCGCGAGGGGGAGCCAAUCCCAGAAACCCGAUCGUAGUCCGGAUCGCAGUCUGCAACUCGACUGCGUGAAGUCGGAAUCGCUAGUAAUCGCGGAUCAGCAUGUCGCGGUGAAUACGUUCCCGGGUUUUGUACACACCGCCCGUCACACCAUGGGAGUGGGUUUUUCCAGAAGUAGUUAGCCUAACUUCAAGGUGGCCCCGGAUCACCUNUC